AGUCGAGCGGUAACAUCUCUAGCUUGCUAGAUGAUGACGAGCGGCGGACGGGUGAGUACAACUCGGGAAUCUGCCUGAUGGAGGAAACAACCGCUGGAAACGGCGGCUAAUACCGCAUAAUCUCUUCGGAGCAAAGUGGGGGACCUUCGGGCCUCACGCCAUCAGAUGAGCCCAAGCAAGAUUAGCUAGUUGGUAAGGUAAAGGCUUACCAAGGCGACGAUCUUUAGCUGGUCUGAGAGGAUGAUCAGCCACACUGGGGCUGAGACACGGCCCAGACUCCUACGGGAGGCAGCAGUGGGGAAUAUUGGACAAUGGGCGCAAGCCUGAUCCAGCCAUGCCGCGUGUGUGAAGAAGGCCUUCGGGUUGUAAAGCACUUUCAGUGGUGAGGAAGGGGAGUAAGUUAAUAGCUUAUUUCAUUGACGUUAGCCACAGAAGAAGCACCGGCUAACUCCGUGCCAGCAGCCACGGUAAUACGGAGGGUGCAAGCGUUAAUCGGAAUUACUGGGCGUAAAGCGCACGUAGGCGGUUUGUUAAGCAAGAUGUGAAAGCCCAGGGCUCAACCUUGGAAUAGCAUUUUGAACUGGCAGACUAGAGUUUUGAAGAGGGUGGUAGAAUUUCCAGUGUAGCGGUGAAAUGCGUAGAUAUUGGAAAGAAUACCAGUGGGCGAAAGCGGCCACCUGGUCAAAAACUGACGCUGAGGAGCGAAAGCGUGGGGAGCAAACAGGAUUAGAUACCCCUGGUAGUCCACGCUGUAAACGAUGUCAACUAGUUGUUCGUUUCAUAAAUGGAAGUGAGUAACGCAGCUAACGCACUAAGUUGACCGCCUGGGGAGUACGGCCGCAAGGUUAAAACUCAAAUGAAUUGACGGGGGCCCGCACAAGCGGUGGAGCAUGUGGUUUAAUUCGAUGCAACGCGAAGAACCUUACCAUCCCUUGACAUCCAGUGAAUUUUCUAGAGAUAGAUUAGUGCCUUCGGGAACACUGAGACAGGUGCUGCAUGGCUGUCGUCAGCUCGUGUUGUGAGAUGUUGGGUUAAGUCCCGCAACGAGCGCAACCCCUAUCCUUAGUUGCCAGCACGUAAUGGUGGGAACUCUAGGGAGACUGCCGGUGAUAAACCGGAGGAAGGUGGGGACGACGUCAAGUCAUCAUGGCCCUUACGGGAUGGGCUACACACGUGCUACAAUGGCGCAUACAAAGGGCAGCGAACUAGCGAUAGUAAGCGAAUCCCAUAAAGUGCGUCGUAGUCCGGAUCGGAGUCUGCAACUCGACUCCG
Molecule: ribosomal RNA, 1272 nt
Filed under: uncultured bacterium
Lineage: Bacteria
Description: bacterial SSU rRNA
Rfam family: Bacterial small subunit ribosomal RNA
Source: RNAcentral